CACGCAGUAAACGAUGAUUACUAGCUGUUAGCGAUAGAAUGUUAGUGGCUAAGCGAAAGCGAUAAGUAAUCCACCUGGGGAGUACNGAUACGCGAGGAACCUUACCCGGGCUUGAAAUGCAUCUGACGAACUUGGAAACAGGUUUUCUAGCAAUAGCAGAUGUGUAGGUGC
RNAcentral lists this ribosomal RNA (171 nucleotides) under uncultured bacterium. RNAcentral's name for it is "partial 16S ribosomal RNA". The record is from RNAcentral.